GCAGGUGGAGCUGAAGAGCCAAGAGGCUCCGAGUCUGCAGCAGCAGCCAGACCAGUAGCUGGAGCCCCAGUCCCACAAGGAGCUUGGAUGUGCGGACAAGCAGGGUGGUGAGUAGAGCCCUCAGGCGGGGUGGGCAGGCAGGAGCAGGGGAGGCUCGCACUGUGCCCAGAUUCCCACCCCCCUCCCUCUCUCUGAAGAUCUUAGUGGGCUGAGCCUCACUGAUAGCAUGGAGGCUGCACCGGGAGAGGACAGGGAGGGUUCUCCCCCAUGACAACCCCACUGCACAGCAGAUCCAGCAGCUGCUUCCUCUAAUGCAGGACUCCCCAGGAGCACCCAGGCUUGAGUGGAGAAGCUGUUGGUACAGGAGAGGCGGCAGGAGGAGCAGGAGAGGCUGCAUGCCAUUCUUUUCGGGCUGCGGAGAACAGGGAGCUAAACAUCACCAUCAUCUAAGAGCGGGUCAAGGAAUUGAAAAAAAAAAAACAAAACAUUUAAGGGGUUAAUAUCCUACACAAUUCAUUUACUUCAUUUGAAUGUUAGAGCCACUUAUGUUUAUUUGUGUUUCUAAUUUAUAGUUUAAAUUUAUUUGUGUUUCUAAUUUAUAGUUUAAAUUUAUUUGUGUUUCUAAUUUAUAGUUUAAAUUUAUUUGUGUUUCUAAUUUAUAGUUUAAAUUUAUUUGUGUUUCUAAUUUAUAAUUUAAAUUUAUUUGUAAAAAGUUAAAUGAGAGUGGGUGUUUCUCUCAUGUUCACUCUGGCAUCUUUUAGCAUUUUUUUAAUUUGAUAAUUAUAGGACGUUAGCAUGCAUAUCGAGUUUGCCCUUAUGUGGUGGGAGUUCAAACACACAAAGACCCACUGUAUGCACACAACUGUUCUUGCUGGUUUGGGAUAGGCUGCCAUGCUUUUUUAAUGUUAGUACAGCCUGUAUAUUCAUUACGGAAUUCAGAUAAAAUUUCCUUAUGUUCUGCUGUUAUGUUUGAUCGAAUCCUAAUCACAGUGAGCUCUUCAUUAGCUCAAUAUGCAGUUUGCCCUCAAGUGCGCGGUCUAUUACUUUGUAAUAUGCCACUGUGAGUACUGACAUUUACAGUUGUUUAAAGGUGGAGCACUGGAAACAGCCUUUCCCCCUUUUUCUGUGUAUUGGGGAUGGGAGUAAUAACAUUUUGGGGAGGUUUUUAAAUCUCCCAGAAGAGGAAAGUGGCCUGCUUUGGCAGGUGUGUGCAGGAUAGAAUAUGUUUCAUUUGUUUCAGUGCCAAGAAUGAGUGCUGUACUACAGUAGUUCCCUUAGGAUUUGUAUGUGCUCUGGGCUCAUGAAGAUACUGCCUCAUGAGCUGUGGCAGUUGUACUCUUUUUUGAUGACCUGAAAAGGGAUUAUUUCUGAGGAAUGAAAGGCUCCCAUCAUGACUGUGGAUGUGGAAAACCUUUUCUAGCUGAGAGCAUUUAUAUCUACAAUACAUUUUAAAGUCAGAGUUCAUGUUCCCUGUUUUAAUCACAUGACUACAUGUCCCAGUACACAAAAGGGCACUGGUUGGCGUUCUCCUUAAUGUAUUUAGUAAAGAUCAGAAGAAAUCCUUUAAGAGUUUAAAUGCCCCUGGAACAGGCAUAUACAGGCUCUAGUCAAGAAUGAAUUCGAGUGAAGGAAAGCUGUGUGACACCUGGCAUUCCUCUGUGUUCAUGGAGCUUAUUUGAGGCUAGAAGAUGGAUUUUACCAUCUAGACCUCUCUGGCUAAUAGCUAGUCUUCAACCAUCUGACAUAGGAAUUUACUUCUUUUCCUUGAAUGGAGAACACUUUAAAAAUAAUAACAAACAUUAUUAUAAACUAAUAUAUGUGAGAGUACUUAGUUGAAACAAAAAGGAGUUUUAGUAGACAGUAUUAUACUACAUUUGAAAAUCAAGGAGCAGUUUAUGCAACGUAAAAUGUUUACAAACUGCAGCGCAAUCUACUGUUUGUGACUGUCAAAGUGUCAUGAGGAAAGUGUCUAUACAAUCACAGAGUUAUAUUUCCUCACAAAGUUCUUUACGAAGAGUGAAAUAUGUUUUUAUACCUCUCAGUUUCAGUUAGAGGCAUAUUUUGUGUAAUAUUUAUGGCUUAAAAUGGACUAAAGGUCCUGUUCUUGCCUUUUCUGAACUUGCCGCUUUUGCAUUCUUUGAGUUCAGUUUAAAGACACUUACUUUAACUCCAUUUUAAACCCUCGGGCUAGAAAUCGUACCACUGUUAAUUAGCCACGUUAUUUGGUCUAACAGUUUUUGUUUAUCAUUCUGAAACUGAGCUUAUCUAAUACAUUGAUAAAUUAUUUCAAAGGUAUUUUUAUAGUUCAAAUCGCUUCACUUUUACCCUGACACGUAUAAAUGAAUAGGAAUGACCUUCAGAUAGCGUUUAGCAACUGUAACCAAUCUGACAAUAAUGUGUUCAUCAGGUACCUGUGGAUUAAAUCACAUACUGGCAUAUUUAAGAUGAAUGUCAGUCUGAAAAAUAAAUAUACUAUAUUAAUUCAAAUACGACUCUGUGUAGGUAUUUUGUCAUAUGUUUAAGAAAAAGCUAAAGAGAAUGGAAAUCCUAUGACAAUAACUCAAGUCUUUCUUCAAAGUGCAUGCAGUCUUUUGCAGUACCUCAUUCAGCCAAGUAUUUGUUCUCUACCUCAUUCAGUAUAAGGCAGCCUUUAAUUUGCUUAGAAGGCAACAUUAGAAGGUUAGAGUUCAGCAGGAACAUAGAAUUUUAAAAUGUGACUUCAACUGAAUAAAUUUGAAUUUCUGUAGGGAGUAAAGAAUCAAAACACCUAUUUAAAGACUGCAAAAUAUGAUAAUUAUUUUUAAAGUAAUUGAUUAAACCUGGUAGGUUUUCCCAAAAUGAAAAACAAUCAGUUCUAAAACCAAAGCUGAUUUUUAGAAAAUGUGAAAAUGUAAAUCAACCCUAUCCAUAAUAGAUUCUCUAAAACUUUAUCUUACAGUCACUUUCAAAUAACUAUUCAAAAAUGUAACUGCUAUAUUAACGUCUUAAAAUAAUUUAAAACAUUUUAAAAUAUGAAUACUGUAGUUUAAAACAAAGAAUCUAGGGGAAGGAAAAGUAGACAAAGAAAUGCCAAUUCCAGUCCAAAGCUGUAUUUGCCAAGUUUUCUUAGAAUGACUUUUACCGAUUUAUGAAUUCUUAUACACAGAAUGCAUAAUGGAAAUACUGAUUUUUGUCUAAAGUGGCAUUAUUGACUGCUGCUGUGAUGCUACUGUAAUGUAAUACAUUAUUAAAUUGUUUCAAGGUGCUGUUUUGCCUAAAAAUUUUGUGUGUCUUGAAAACUAUAGUAUUGGGUAUUGAGACUCUGCAAAUUCUCGGCAUGCUUGGCAUGAGGUAAUCGGUUUUUAUUCUUACAAAAUUGUAACUAUGUAAGUGUGUUUAUUAAAAGAACACAAACUAAAAAAGUUAACAGGAAUUAAAGUUGUGGGAUGAAAAAGUUACAGGAUAAAAAAAUACUGUGGAAAAGUGGCAAAAAAAAGUUGUGGAAAAAAAGUAAAAAAAAAGUUUUAUGAAAAGUUAUUUUAAAAAGUUAUGAAAAAUUAGUUACAGGAUUUAAAAAAAGUCAUGGGAUAAAAAUAAAAAUAAAUAAAAGCAGGCCCCUGUCAGCAUAAGCCUGGAGAAGUGGGUCUGGAGUCUUCACCCCCACCAUGUCCCUACAACCCCUCCCCAGUCAG
This 3671-nucleotide long non-coding RNA is filed under the name Homo sapiens (human). RNAcentral's name for it is "non-protein coding lnc-WDR73-3:13". The record is from RNAcentral. Lineage: Eukaryota; Metazoa; Chordata; Mammalia; Primates; Hominidae.